AGCCCCCGGCUCACCCGCGGAGGGUCACUUGGAAACUGGGGGACUUGAGUGCAGAAGAGGAGAAGUGGAAUUUCAAGUGUAGCGGUGAGAUGCGUAGAGAUAUGGAGGAACACCAGUGGCGAAGGCGACUUUCUGGUCUGUAACUGACGCUGAGGCGCGAAAGCGUGGGGAGCAAACAGGAUUAGAUACCCUGGUAGUCCACGCCGUAUACGAUGAGUG
This 219-nucleotide ribosomal RNA is filed under the name Lysinibacillus boronitolerans. Its description in RNAcentral is "partial 16S ribosomal RNA". It matches the Rfam family "Bacterial small subunit ribosomal RNA", at positions 599 to 815 of the family's 1533-position model. The record is from RNAcentral. Lineage: Bacteria; Bacillati; Bacillota; Bacilli; Caryophanales; Bacillaceae.